AACGCACAUUGCGCCCCCCGGCUGCCCGGGGGGCAUGCCUGUCCGAGCGUCAUUGCCAUCCCCUCAAGCUCCGCUUGGCUGGUUGGGCCGACGUCCACCCGUGGCUUUGUGCCAGGGGGGACGGACCCGAAAGGCAGUGGCGGCUCCCGGAGGGUGGUCCCUUGGGGCGGUGAUAACAUGGGUUGUCAUCUUUCACCGCUCUGUUGGCCACGCUCCGGGGGUCUGUCGAACGAUUUGGUCUUCCCCUUUAGGUUGACCUCGGAUCAGGUAGGGAUACCCGCUGAACUUAA
This 290-nucleotide unclassified non-coding RNA is filed under the name Scytalidium sp. Its description in RNAcentral is "partial contains 5.8S ribosomal RNA, internal transcribed spacer 2, and large subunit ribosomal RNA". RNAcentral also lists the same sequence under 1 other name. Lineage: Eukaryota; Fungi; Ascomycota; Leotiomycetes. The record is from RNAcentral.